AUUGAUUUUAUGCUUGCAUAAAUGAUUUUUGGAUUCGGAGCGAGUGGCGAACUGGUGAGUAACACGUGGGUAACCUGCCCCGAAGCGGGGGAUAACCUUUGGAAACAAGUGCUAAUACCGCAUAAUUAGUUGGAACCGCAUGGUUCCAACUUGAAAGAUGGCUCUGCUAUCACUUUGGGAUGGACCCGCGCCGUAUUAGUUAGUUGGUGAGAUAAAAGCCCACCAAGACGAUGAUACGUAGCCGACCUGAGAGGGUAAUCGGCCACAUUGGGACUGAGACACGGCCCAGACUCCUACGGGAGGCAGCAGUAGGGAACCUUCCACAAUGGACGAAAGUCUGAUGGAGCAACGCCGCGUGAGUGAUGAAGGUUUUCGGAUCGUAAAACUCUGUUGUUAAAGAAGAACAAGUGUUAGAGUAACUGUUAACACUUUGACGGUAUUUAACCAGAAAGCCACGGCUAACUACGUGCCAGCAGCCGCGGUAAUACGUAGGUGGCAAGCGUUGUCCGGAUUUAUUGGGCGUAAAGCGAGCGCAGGCGGUUUUGUAAGUCUGCUGUGAAAGCCCUCAGCUCAACUGAGGAAGUGCAGUGGAAACUACAAAACUUGAGUACAGAAGAGGAAAGUGGAACUCCAUGUGUAGCGGUGAAAUGCGUAGAUAUAUGGAAGAACACCAGUGGCGAAGGCGGCUUUCUGGUCUGUUACUGACGCUGAGGCUCGAAAGCAUGGGUAGCGAACAGGAUUAGAUACCCUGGUAGUCCAUGCCGUAAACGAUGAAUACUAGGUGUUGGAGGGUUUCCGCCCUUCAGUGCCGCAGCUAACGCAUUAAGUAUUCCGCCUGGGGAGUACGACCGCAAGGUUGAAACUCAAAGGAAUUGACGGGGGCCCGCACAAGUGGUGGAGCAUGUGGUUUAAUUCGAUGCUACGCGAAGAACCUUACCAGCUCUUGACAUCUUCUGCCAACCCAAGAGAUUGGGCGUUCCCUUCGGGGACAGAAUGACAGGUGGUGCAUGGUUGUCGUCAGCUCGUGUCGUGAGAUGUUGGGUUAAGUCCCGCAACGAGCGCAACCCUUAUUAUUAGUUGCCAGCAUUUAGUUGGGCACUCUAGUGAGACUGCCGGUGAUAAA
RNAcentral lists this ribosomal RNA (1123 nucleotides) under uncultured bacterium. RNAcentral describes it as "bacterial SSU rRNA". It matches the Rfam family "Bacterial small subunit ribosomal RNA", at positions 47 to 1162 of the family's 1533-position model. The record is from RNAcentral.